This 468-nucleotide ribosomal RNA is filed under the name uncultured bacterium. RNAcentral's name for it is "partial 16S ribosomal RNA". It matches the Rfam family "Bacterial small subunit ribosomal RNA", at positions 28 to 507 of the family's 1533-position model. The record is from RNAcentral.
GACGAACGCUGGCGGCGUGCUUAACACAUGCAAGUCGAACGGAAAGGCCCUGCUUUUGCGGGGUGCUCGAGUGGCGAACGGGUGAGUAACACGUGAGUAACCUGCCCUUGACUUUGGGAUAACUUCAGGAAACUGGGGCUAAUACCGGAUAGGAGCUCCUGCUGCAUGGUGGGGGUUGGAAAGUUUCGGCGGUUGGGGAUGGACUCGCGGCUUAUCAGCUUGUUGGUGGGGUAGUGGCUUACCAAGGCUUUGACGUGUAGCCGGCCUGAGAGGGUGACCGGCCACAUUGGGACUGAGAUACGGCCCAGACUCCUACGGGAGGCAGCAGUGGGGAAUAUUGCACAAUGGGCGGAAGCCUGAUGCAGCAACGCCGCGUGCGGGAUGACGGCCUUCGGGUUGUAAACCGCUUUCGCCUGUGACGAAGCGUGAGUGACGGUAAUGGGUAAAGAAGCACCGGCUAACUACGUG